RNAcentral lists this ribosomal RNA (367 nucleotides) under uncultured Rhodoferax sp. RNAcentral's name for it is "bacterial SSU rRNA". It matches the Rfam family "Bacterial small subunit ribosomal RNA", at positions 1013 to 1382 of the family's 1533-position model. The record is from RNAcentral. Lineage: Bacteria; Pseudomonadati; Pseudomonadota; Betaproteobacteria; Burkholderiales; Comamonadaceae.
UGCUCGAAAGAGAGCCGUAACACAGGUGCUGCAUGGCUGUCGUCAGCUCGUGUCGUGAGAUGUUGGGUUAAGUCCCGCAACGAGCGCAACCCUUGUCAUUAGUUGCUACAUUCAGUUGGGCACUCUAAUGAGACUGCCGGUGACAAGCCGGAGGAAGGUGGGGAUGACGUCAAGUCCUCAUGGCCCUUAUAGGUGGGGCUACACACGUCAUACAAUGGCUGGUACAAAGGGUUGCCAACCCGCGAGGGGGAGCCAAUCCCAUAAAGCCAGUCGUAGUCCGGAUCGUAGUCUGCAACUCGACUACGUGAAGUCGGAAUCGCUAGUAAUCGUGGAUCAGAAUGUCACGGUGAAUACGUUCCCGGGUCUU